This 835-nucleotide long non-coding RNA is filed under the name Homo sapiens (human). RNAcentral's name for it is "HSALNT0300063". The record is from RNAcentral. Lineage: Eukaryota; Metazoa; Chordata; Mammalia; Primates; Hominidae.
GCUUAUGGAUAUGAAAAGGCUUUCCCAAAGAAGCCAUGGAGUAGAAUCCAGGUCUCCCAGUUCGUGAUCAGUCUUCCAUCUCCCUGGUGGGCCAGAGAUAUUUCAAGUUGGCAGAGUCAAGCAUGAGCAAGGAGAUGGUGUGGGGCAGAGUGUGAACCAUAUAUUCCUAGACCCCAGUGAUGAAGGCUAAAUGAGACAAUAUACGUCAUGCAUCUUGCACUUCCUGCCACACAGAGCUUCCAUGGAUACUGAAAGAUCAGCUGACACGUGCCUUCAAGGCUAAAAUGAAUGUGGAUAUCAAUAGUGAUGAGAAGAAAUGGUCUAAAAUAAAGAAACAGCAUGUGCAAAAGUGAAGAUUAUGAUGCUAUGUCAGUUACCUUCAGGACCCAAUUGUAGCCACUUCAGCUGGCCCAGGCUUUCCCGAAAUGUGAAGACAGCAAACUCCCACUCUUCCUCCUGCAGACUGGUGGCAAAAACACAAAGUCCACUUGAGACCAUGAAGUCCAAGGAUCUUUUCUUAUUCCUGGAAUAUACUAGGAAAAAUACAGGCACCGUGCAGCGGGUGCUGUGUUCUAGCUGCUCUGUUAACUGCCAGUUACCUCAUUUGAUCCUGAUGACAACCCUUGGGUAAACAAAGGAUCCAGGCCACUGUAACAUCAAAGUACAUCAAGUCAAACUGAACAAGGAAGAAAGGAAAGGAAUCGUUGAACCAAAGGAGAAGGACUGGUAUAUAAAUGGAAUCAAGGAGGCAGUGGUGGCUGCAAUCAACGCCUGAAGAUAAAAGCCACAGCACUCAAAUAACAAUCCUCGUUAGAGUGACAAACAGACUGCAGCU